GAAAACCAGCUCCACUAAUCCUAAUCCCAGCUCCUACAAAAGUCGUAGCCUCUCUCUCGCGUACUCACUCAAACAGUAGAUUCUCCAGUCUCUCCAUUUUCCCUCCACUCACGCUUCCUCUCCUUCUCUCUACAGAUCCACCCACGCCUCUUCUGCUCGUGCCCCGUCUCUCUCCACCACUGCAGUGACGAUUUGAUGAUGUUUCCGCACCGAGACCGGUACUCUCUGCGGUACCUUUUUCUUUCUUAGUCGUGUGUCAGUACUCUUAAUAGGGUAAGUUGACCAUUAGCUACUGCUUCCGUAUUGUUACCCUCUCGUUUGAGAUGGGAAGAUUUGAAUAUUAUGCUGUAAUUGAGCUCUGGGCCAUUUCCACGAGCACUUAAUAGACGCGAAAGCGAGCAGCAAUGGUUGCAGAACCUUGGUUGCUGAAAAUGGGUAACCAGGUGAGUUCUAACCUCAAACACGCGCUGCUUCUUGAACCUUACAAGAGAAGGAAUCGGAGAAAACCAGAAGCCAGAGAGAAGGAGAUUGUUGGUAUUCUCUCAUUUGAGGUCGCCAUCGUUAUGUCUAAGACGGUCCUGCUAUUCAAAUCACUUUCCGAUUCCGAGAUCUCCAAGCUCAAGUCCGAGAUCUUGAACUCCCAGGGAGUUAAGAACUUGGUUUCUUCGGAUGAAAACUUCCUUCUCGAGCUUGCUUUAGCGGAGAAGCUCGACGACCUGAACAGGGUUGCUGGUGUUGUUUCUAGAUUGGGGAAGAAGUGCACUGAACCUGCUUUGCUAGGGUUCGAGCAUGUUUAUGGGGACAUAAUGAGUGGAGUCAUUGAUGUGAAGGAAUUGGGGUUUUUGGUGAAGGAUAUGGAGGGUAUGGUGAGGAAGAUGGAGAGGUAUGUGAGUGCCACCGCGAAUUUGUACAACGAGUUGGAGGUGUUGAACGAGCUGGAGCAGGCAGUGAAGAAAUUCCAGCAGAAUCAGCAUGAGGAGAGUCGCAAGGCGUUUGAGCAGAAAUUGAUUUGGCAGAAGCAAGACGUGAGGCAUCUCAAGGAGAUUUCUAUUUGGUCUCAGACUUACGAUAAGGUUGUGGAGUUGUUGGCGAGGACGGUAUGUACUAUUUUUGCCAAGAUUUGUGCGGUAUUUGGGGAUUCUGCUUUGAGAACUGGCCAUCUCGAAGGGGGUUCCUCUCCAAUGAAGAAUGAUUAUGGACAUGUAUCGGGUGAAAUUGGAGAGUGCCUGCAGGUGCAAGUGGUUUCAGGGCCGCUGAGACGAAUUCUUAGCAGAAGCAAUAGUGGUUGUCAAUCGGGUCUGAUUGAGAGACCUGCGAUGGUGAAAAAGGGGAAAAUUUUGAAGUCUCACAUUGGUUUACAAAGAGGAGAAACUGCAUUUAUUCAACAUGAAGACUAUAAUUUUCCAUGUGGGACUAGUCCGGGGAGGCUAAUUAUGGAUUGCCUUAGUUUGAGUAGUUCGGUUUCAAGGUUUGAUGAUGAAGACGAUGUUGAUCGUGAGGACCGAAAUAGCCACAUUUCGCGUUGUAGUGGUGUUACUAAUGGUGGUUUCAGAAGUGAGCAUCCUAAUCAUGCUGAUUGUUUUGGUCCAACCCAACUUGGGGUUUCUUUCAAUGCAGAUCAAAAGCAAGCAAAGAAUAAUGUGCUAAGUAGCACAUGCUUUGGUCCCAACAGUAGGUUGACUGUUUAUGCUCCCCCUUCUACUGUGGGAGGCUCUGCCCUGGCCUUGCAUUACGCAAAUGUUAUAAUUGUCAUAGAGAAGUUACUACGCUACCCUCACUUAGUAGGCGAGGAAGCUAGAGAUGAUUUGUAUCAAAUGUUACCGACAAGCUUAAGAAAGACUCUGAGGACUAAUCUCAAGUCCUAUUUCAAGAAUUUCGCGAUAUAUGAUGCUCCGCUUGCUCUUGAUUGGAAAGAGACGUUGGAUAAGAGAUUGAGUUGGCUAGCCCCAUUAGCACAUAAUAUGAUCAGGUGGCAAAGUGAGCGUAAUUUUGAGCAGCAACAAAUUGUUAAGCGGACAAAUGUUCUUCUGCUUCAGACGUUGUACUUUGCUGAUAGGGGGAAGACCGAGGCAGCUAUUUGUGAACUUCUUGUUGGAUUGAAUUAUAUAUGUCGCUAUGAGCAGCAGCAAAACGCACUGUUAGACUGUGCAAGUAGCAUUGAUUUUGAUGAUUGUAUGGAAUGGCAGUCUCAAGGCGGGGUUUCUUAUCUCAAUUAGUUAUAUUAUCAAAUUCGGAUGGCUGAAGCAGGCUGUAUAGACAGUUACUGACUGUUGAUAUAUGUGUGAAGACAUUUAUGAUUCAGCAAAAUGAGAAUACGCUUUGCUGAAUUGCCUUGCUGUUGGAUGCUGGAUUUGAUUAAUUUCUUUCACUGUCAGAAGAACAGAGAGAAGAGGCAAGGAAUGUGUCAUGCGGCAUUAAUUAAACAGAGGGUAGAAGAGGGCAUUGAUGGUGUAAUAAACGAGCUCCCUUUGUCCUCACGAUGUGGUUGGAUGCCAUUAAAUUGAUGGAACGAGGUCAAGAGGACCCUCUUGAGUUUUGUGCUUGGUGACAUACAUUCAGUAACUUCAGACAUUCCUCUCAGGACCCAAACCAGAUUCUGAUUUCUACCAAAAUUAGGACGCUUAUUUAGUGUCAGACUCAAGACCCGGCUGCGCAUGAUGGUGGUAGCGGACAAGUGAAAUAUUUGCGAACCCGAUUUACUAGUCCUUCAAAUACAUGGUUCAGUUGAUGAAUUUUUCCCCCCUUCUCAUGUUAAUGUUUGCUUCCCCUCCAUUUACAAGCUCCUGUAAAUUAACCUUUUCUUUCACAAAUUAUUUCGAUUGUAGAAAUGAAUCAAUAUAAAGAUUGAGUUGUGUAAACCACUUGGUGACAGCGUAGUUAGUUAUCUUUCCGGACUUAGACCUAUGGUGCCCGAGGACGCGAGUUUGAAAAUAUUUUCUUCUGUAAUCCUGGUUUAGUGUGCUUGUCUCA
This is an RNA transcript of Tripterygium wilfordii, 2970 nucleotides long. It is a transcript of the gene named protein PSK SIMULATOR 1-like, with no coding region annotated. The transcript has 2 exons. NCBI's taxonomy places the organism in Eukaryota, Viridiplantae, Streptophyta, Magnoliopsida, Celastrales, Celastraceae. The record is from RefSeq and is a predicted model, not a curated record.